UACAAACUAGUGUUCGCAAUCGCGAUCGAUCGGCUGCGAAGAGAUGGGAGAGUGCACGAAGCGCGUCCAUGUGCUGUUGGUUCUUAUUCUCGUAGGAUUCGCUGUUCAGGGGCAAUGUGGAGGCGCAACCGUCGAUAAAGAACCUCUUAAUGGGUGUUUCAAGGGCCAUAGCAUUCCGACAUGCAACCCAGAUAUAGCUAACUGCUACUGUUGUAUAACCAAUGACAAUUGCUACAAGACUAUGGAUGAGUGCAAAGCCAUCUGUCCACCAGUGGAGUCGGCGGUCCUCUCCCCUUCCUUCUCAUCCACACUUCCAUGAAACAUGAUUAUUGUAAUAAACCAGAAAAAGAAUGAUGAAUAAACGGGCAUUUGCUAUUGAUUUUA
Lolium perenne is the source of this 384-nucleotide non-coding RNA. Lineage: Eukaryota; Viridiplantae; Streptophyta; Magnoliopsida; Poales; Poaceae. The record is from RefSeq and is a predicted model, not a curated record.